UACAAAUCUGGCUGUCGAGAUGCCUAAAAAGCAUUUCAUAGCAAGGGCCGGGCAAGACCGGUGCCAGCCGCCGCGGUAACACCGGCGGCUCGAGUGGUAACCGUUAUUAUUGGGUCUAAAGGGUCUGUAGCCGGCCGGAUAAGUCUCUUGAGAAAUCUGGCAGCUUAACUGUCAGGCUUUCAGGAGAUACUGUCUGGCUCGAGGCCGGGAGAGGUGAGAGGUACUUCAGGGGUAGGGGUGAAAUCUUGUAAUCCUUGAAGGACCACCAGUGGCGAAGGCGUCUCACCAGAACGGACCUGACGGCAAGGGACGAAAGCUAGGGGCACGAACCGGAUUAGAUACCCGGGUAGUCCUAGCCGUAAACGAUACUCGCUAGGUGUCGGCCACGGUGCGACCGUUGUCGGUGCCGUAGGGAAGCCGUGAAGCGAGCC
This 431-nucleotide ribosomal RNA is filed under the name uncultured archaeon. RNAcentral's name for it is "bacterial SSU rRNA". It matches the Rfam family "Archaeal small subunit ribosomal RNA", at positions 396 to 825 of the family's 1478-position model. The record is from RNAcentral.